Non-coding RNA from Myotis brandtii (Brandt's bat), 73 nucleotides. NCBI's taxonomy places the organism in Eukaryota, Metazoa, Chordata, Mammalia, Chiroptera, Vespertilionidae. The record is from Rfam.
GCCUGGGUAGCUCAGCUGGUUACAGCAUUGUCCUGAUAAGCCAAGGUUGCGGGUUCAAUUUCCAGUCAGGGCA